This 250-nucleotide ribosomal RNA is filed under the name uncultured bacterium. RNAcentral describes it as "partial 16S ribosomal RNA". It matches the Rfam family "Bacterial small subunit ribosomal RNA", at positions 524 to 773 of the family's 1533-position model. The record is from RNAcentral.
UACGAAGGUCCCAAGCGUUAUCCGGAUUUAUUGGGUUUAAAGGGUGCGUAGGCGGGUUAUUAAGUCAGUGGUGAAAGCUCCCAGCUCAACUGGGAAACUGCCAUUGAUACUGAUAGUCUUGAGUAUGAUUGAAGUGGGCGGAAUGUGUCAUGUAGCGGUGAAAUGCUUAGAUAUGACACAGAACACCGAUUGCGAAGGCAGCUCACUAAGCCAUAACUGACGCUGAUGCACGAAAGCGUGGGGAGCAAAC